Molecule: ribosomal RNA, 506 nt
Filed under: uncultured bacterium
Lineage: Bacteria
Description: bacterial SSU rRNA
Rfam family: Bacterial small subunit ribosomal RNA
Source: RNAcentral
GAUGAACGCUAGCGGCAGGCCUAAUACAUGCAAGUCGAACGGAUAUAUGUUUUUCGGAAUAUAUAUUAGUGGCGCACGGGUGAGUAACACGUACAUAACUUGCCCUCAAGCGGGGGAUAGCCUUGGGAAACUGAGAGUAAUACCCCAUAGAAUUAUUGGACGGCAUCGUUUGAUAAUUAAAACUACGGUGUUUGGGGAUAGAUGUGCGUCUGAUUAGCUAGUUGGUGAGGUAACUGCUCACCAAGGCGACGACCAGUAGGGGGCGUGAGAGCGUGGCCCCCCACACGGGUACUGAGACACGGACCCGACUCCUACGGGAGGCAGCAGUAAGGAAUAUUGGUCAAUGGAGGGAACUCUGAACCAGCCAUGCCGCGUGAAGGAUGACGGCCCUCUGGGUUGUAAACUUCUUUUGGAUGGGGCGAAAAAACGGGAUUUAUCCUGGACUGACGGUACCAUCAGAAUAAGCACCGGCUAACUCCGUGCCAGCAGCCGCGGUAAUGUAGUCG